Pipistrellus kuhlii (Kuhl's pipistrelle) is the source of this 1609-nucleotide long non-coding RNA. RefSeq lists it as uncharacterized. The record is from RefSeq and is a predicted model, not a curated record. The transcript has 2 exons. Lineage: Eukaryota; Metazoa; Chordata; Mammalia; Chiroptera; Vespertilionidae.
AUGCCUAGACUACUCCCCAAACCAUUGAAUUACAAUCUCUAGAGGGGGACACAACAUCAGUAUUUUCUUUAAUACCCCUGGGAAGUUCCAAAGAUGAUCCCAACAUCAGGUCUACUCUUCUACAUGAAUGAUUUCUAAGUGAAAGACAUUAAAAUACCAUCAUUUGGGCAAGAAAGCAGCAUUUCCUGUCUUGUAAUAACACAACACUGGGAUAUAACUGGAGAAUGAGAGUUCCUACUUGUUAAAUACUGAUGAUGUCCCAGGAUUAACCAAUUUGUUCCUUUUAACUUUCCCUACUUUAUGGAGGUACGAAACAGGCGUGCAGUGAAGUUAAGUAAGUUGCUCAAGAUCAUGUCCCUAGUGACAGGGCUGGGAUUUAAACCCGGGUACCCUGGUUUCAGAGUCCCUGAAUUAGGCCUACGCUAUAGGGCCCUGUGUGCUCAGUUUCUGGGAGACUAUUAACGGCUUUGCUCUCUGUGAGCAGCACUUAGGGCGAACAUGGAAUGAGCCCACCAUCUAUCACACUGGGUUGGAAUCCAGGAGCCACCAUUUCAUAGUGAUGUAACGUGAGCAAGUCCUUCAGCUCUCCGGAGCCUGUCUUCUCAUCUGGAAGAUGGUGUAACGGUGUCCACCUUAACUGCCUGCUGGGAAGGCUUACAACAAAUGAGGGAAGUCCUUGGCCCAGUGCCUGACAUGGGGCUGAGGUUCAAGAAAUGUUUGCUGUCUUCCUCUUCUCCCUCAGCCCUUCCUCUCACGGUCCUCAGAGCCCCCUAAGAGUUUUUCCCAGUUGCUUUUUGAGUGACUGCAAACGCUAUUUCCCUCACCAUCGGCAGACACGAUUGACUGAACAAAUACAUUCUGGGGAAAUGAGAAAGCCUUCCUGCGGUAUGGAAGGAAGCACAGAUGUUAGGCUUUGCUGAACAAUGAGUGGGACACGCCGGACACUGGAAAUGAAGGAAACGUGUGCUGCUCCUGGAGGGAACAGACGGCCUGAUUCACCGGCUGUGGUGUCCCAGCACAUCUCAGAGCAGCUGCCCUGCACCAAGGGUCCGGGUGCUGGGUGGGGCACCCACAGCCGCGGGACGUGCUGCGAGUCAGUACUAAUGAAAAAGUCCUGCAGCUCCUGAGUGACUCACUCACCACAGUCAGACAUCAGACUACAUGCACUUUCUUGAGGGGAGAGAGAGGCAGGCAGAGCCUAGUUCGCUGUGCUUGUGCACAGUUCUGGGGUAGGCUUUUGGGAGUCUUACCAGUGAAAGUCACCCAAAGCUAAAAAUGAUUGCACAUGUUGCUUAAGACAUUUUUAGAGAAUCUAGAAUAACUAAUUUUUAUAUGCACCCACUUCCAGGAAGUUUUGAGGGGGCUCACGAAAGGAGGUGAAGGUACUUUAAGCGAAGAUGGGAUAAGUAAAUCAGAGAAAGAAAACUCUGCUGGUGGUUGGGGAAAACAAGAGAUAGAGAAUGCGAACUCAUCUAAUGCUAGACCAGGAGGGAUCCUAGACACUGAGCAGAAAAUAGAGCUCAGAGGCUCCUGGCAGCGGAGGCAAAAAGAUCCGCACAGUGCGGUCUGUGGCUUUCCUGUUUUCAUUGAUUGAAAAGAAAAAAAGAAA